Molecule: unclassified non-coding RNA, 311 nt
Filed under: Agaricomycetes sp.
Lineage: Eukaryota; Fungi; Basidiomycota; Agaricomycetes
Description: partial contains 5.8S ribosomal RNA, internal transcribed spacer 2, and large subunit ribosomal RNA
Rfam family: 5.8S ribosomal RNA (bases 1-71)
Source: RNAcentral
GUGAGUCAUCGAAUCUUUGAACGCACCUUGCGCUCCUUGGCAUUCCGAGGAGCAUGCCUGUUUGAGUGUCAUGUUAACUCUCAGCCCCUUGGGGUUGGAUUCUGGACGCUGCGGGAGCCUCUUCCGCUCGUCUCAAAUGCAUUAGCGGGGUUCGGGCACCGACCCAUUGCUGGCGUUUAGUAAUGCUUGCGCCGCGCGGGGUCCACCGCCUCUUCCGCUUACCAGCGGACGCCACGGCGUCGAACUUGACUUUUUGGCCUCAAAUCAGGUAGGAUUACCCGCUGAACUUAAGCAUAUCAAUAAGCGGAGGA